GCGCCUUUGGAGAGACGGAGAAGCCUGCUCUCCCGCCCAGGAAAUCCACGGGCUCCGGUUUACAAAGAGCCGCCCCGCAGUCCCGGCUCCAGCCCCGUGCGCUGCCGCAGGGAGGGCUCAUCCCUCUCAACCCUCAGCCUGGUGCCGGCCGCGAUGCCGACCCCGCCGGGCAGGGGACGGGGGGUCCCGCCGCGCCGCCCCACCGCGGACCCGCUGCCCCGCAGGGUGCGAGGACGCGCCGGUCCCCUGCCCCCCAUCCCUCCCCGCCGGGAACACACGCACGGCGGAGCAGGAAACGUCUUACAGAAAUCAGAGGAGAAACAAAGAGCUGAGGACAAGGAGACCUGGCAUCCCGCAACAAAGAGCUCUGCGAAUUCUUCAGGAGAUCUCCAUAGUGUGAUUAGCAUCUCUUUACAGCAACAUCAUCUCUCCUUCUUUUGUUUCCCCAGAGGAAGAUAAAAUUGUCGCCAAGCACCAGAGAAUGAAGCUUGAUGAAUACUGAAAAGUCAUUCACCUGCAAAGUAGGAUGGACUGGUCCCGGAUCGGGACUGAUGGGCAACUGCUUUUAAUUAAUGUUUCCAGAAGCUGGGGCAAGAAGAAGGAAUAUCGGGGGUUAGAGCUGUGAGGGGAGUGCAAGGAAACAGGGCUGGUGUUAAUGAGAAAGGACAGGUAGUACUGGCUGAGGUGUGAGCACACAGCCUUAUUCCCAGGCACACAGCCUUACUCCCCUCUGCUCCCAUGGACUCAAAGCAUUCUUAGGCUGCUGGGACACAGCCCUGCUCCAAAGCCACCCCUUUGGGCUUCCACACCAUGGGCUGCUCUGACCAUAAGUCCAGUUGAGGAGCCGUGGCUUCACCCUCUGCUUUGCUGUAGGCAAGGAGCUCCUUUGGCUGCUUCAGACUUCCUUCCACAUUUCUCCAUGAACCAGAAAACACCUUCUGAAUUAGAGAACAGAAUUACUAUUGCGAGUUUUCUUGAGUGUGUCCUCACUUUUUUUUUUUUUAUAAACCAGCAGCUCUCAAAAAUGUUUUAGAGCAGGUUGAUUUUAUGAAAUGAUGUUGCUGAACUGAAAUUUGCAGUAAGUUUGUGGGCAGUUUGAACCCUUCCCAGUGACUUUUCGUAUUGAUGUUUCCUAUAGUGACUCAUUGUCCUCCAUAUAAGCAUCUCUUACUGACUGAAGCAAAAAGGCGCAAUUAGAGAAGAGUUCCUCUAUGGGUCUCCUGAAAUUACAGUAGUUUAUAUUGCUGCCCAGCAACCUGGAGCUAAAUUGCAGUGCUUCAGCAGCUCUGGCAAUUGCUGUUUCUCCAUUCAUACGCCAGAAACUGAUGGAUCCAAACAAAGAGAGUUUCACUGACUGAAAGAGAGUAGGAGAUGCAUAGGCAAACCACGGAAUACCCUAGUAACAGAUUCCACCCCUCUCACCUUAAGCAGAGGGGCAACUGCUGAACCCCAGUUACAUCAUGCUCAGUCCUUUAGAGGUGCAUUUGGACAGGUUCCUCUCUGGCUCUAAGGGGACAGGCAGUUUAUUGGGGCUUGGGCAUAUUGCAUGUGUGAACAGAUACAGCUUUAGGACUAGUUUAGGAAGUCCAUCUGGAGCUCCUCCUGGUGCAACCAAAUAGACCCAGCAUCUCAAAGCUGUCUGUUGAUCUGUCAGCUUACCAGUCAAUACUGCUCCUGUAUGGUCUCUAGGAGUUCAGUUUCUUCUUCCAUAUGCGACUUGGGCCUAAAAACUCAUCACAUGUGUCUUCUGCUGAUUGUGACCUGGGAAUUCUUGGUGUCGUGAUGCUCCCCAGUGUGAGCUGUUUCGGGAAAAAUUUGGAAAAAUCAGAAAUAGCAAGCGAAGCACUGAAACUGCAGCUGUGUGAGUAGCAACCAAAUAAGCUAGGACUAAGAUUUGACAGACAGAUAACCAGAGUGUGAGAAAGGUCUGCAAGGUUGUGAGGUGGAGAAAAGGGAUGGAAAGAAGCCAGUUGUUUUCUGUUUCUUACAACAGAAUUAGGAGGCAUCAAAUGAAAACUGUAGGUGACAUUGCAAAGAGAGUAGAUCUUUUUAAACAACACAUAAUUUACCUGUGGAACUCACAGAAUCACAGGCUACUUGAGACUGUCAGGGACCUCUGAAGGUCAUCUUGUCUAACCCCUGUGCCCAAGCAGGACCACUGAGAGCACGAUGUCCCAGACUGUGUCCGAAUGUCUUUUGAAUAUCUCAAAGGAUUCAACCUGUUCACCACUUGAUCGCCCUCACAGUAACAAAGUGUUUCCUGAUGUUCAGGAGGAACCUCCUGUGUCCUCAUUUUUGUUCAUUGCCUCUGUUCCUGUCACUGGGCACCAUUGGAAAGAGCCUGGUUCCAGCCUCUUUCACCCUUCCUCCAGGUAUUUAUAUACUUCGAUGAGAUCUGCUCUCAGUGCUCUCCAGCUGAACUGUCCCAGUUCUCAGCCUUUUCUCAUAAGAAAUGCUCCAGUCCCUUCAUCAUCCUUAUGGUUCUUCAUUGGACUCUCUCCAGUGUGUCCACCUCUCCCAUAGUGGGAAGCCAAGAACUGGAUACAAUGCUGCAGCUGUGGCCUCUCCAGCGCUGAGCUGAGGGCAAGGAUCAGUUCCCUCAACCUGCUGGCAAUACUGUGCCUAGGGCAGCUCAGGAUCCCAUUAUCCUUUUUUGCUGCAAGGGCACUCUGCUGGCUCAUGGUCAAGUUGGUGCCUUUUCUGCUGAGCUGCUUUCCAGCUGGGUGGUCCCUAAUAUAUGUGGGGCAUUGGGCUGUUCAUCCACAAACUCCAUGGUACUGUGGAUUUGAAACGUUUCCACAGGUCCAAGAAUAAAUUAUAUGAAAGGUGUGUGUGGGUGGACUUACCAUGAUUGUUUACUACAAGGAUGACAGUAUUAGUUUGGGACAUCUGGGAGAGUUCUUCUCAUUACCUUCCUUAUACUUUGCUGUUGGCCAUGAUGUGAGCUGUGAGGGACAUCCCCACAUUCCUGUGCAGAAGUCAGCUUGUGCUCAGAACAGAUCUGGGAUACAUCUUAGUGGGAAACAGCAAAUAAAAACUUAGGCUGGGGCAGGAGAUCCACUUCUAGUUUGGGACAUGAACCAGAGGGCUAUCAAAACACUGGUGAGGAGGAAUGUGUUUUAGAAACUCAGCUCAAUUUUAUCCAUCAUCAAGUAACCCCUGGUGGGACACUUUUCGUGCCUAAGACUGGAGUAUCCCUCUUAAAUUUAGCAGUCACUGUCUCCAGGAUACCCCAUCUCUAUGUCCCCUUUGAGUCCACAGGUUGCUGACAUUUCCAUAUGUUCUCAUUUUUCAUCUUCCCUAUCUGGAAAGGACACCUCAGGCUGUCACAGCACUGAUAGGGAGGUGAGAGCUGGCUUUCAACUUUUUUUUCAACUCUUUUUGCUUUAAAACACCUUGAAAAAAUGUUCAAAUAAAUUUUCCAGCAGCAGUUUAUUUACUUUUGCUCACAAAGCCAUAUUUAUCUACAAAAAAAGAAGUCAAACCUCCCAAAUGCUUGAAACACAGGAACAUGGGGCUGGCAGGGACUUCCAGACUUGCCAAAUCUAAUCCCUGCUGUUGCAGCAACACAUCACGAUGUCCUUUCAGAACUGGAGUCUGCUCUCUCUUAAAAGCUAUUUGGAUUUCUGCCUCUGUGGUUCCUACUGGGUGGCUGCUCCAAACCCAAUUGCUCUAAUGGUUUGAAGCCCUUAACUAAUUUCCAGCCUGGUUUAUUCAUGGCCAGUUUAUAUACAUUUGUUCUCAUGCCAGCACUGUCCUUUGGCUGAAAUAGCUCUCCUAUCUCUGUAGUGCUUAUUCCCCAGACGUAUUUAAAGAAAACUAUCCCCAGCCUUCAUUAAUACACUGCAAUUACUUGUUUUGCCUGCUCUUCUGCAGAGGGUAUGGUCUCCUGACCUGUCCCUUCACGCCCUUGCAAGCUCACCUUCAGCUUCCUCCCAGCCUGGGUGAAGAGUGGCAUGGAAUCUACAAAGGAUUGUGUUUUCACUGGGAAAUGGGACUUGGAUGUGUGCCAUAAGAGAAAUGCCAUCCCAUACCCGUGCCUUUCCCCCUCCUGGUGUGCUCCUGGAAGGAGCAAGAGAGUCUCGCUGAAGAACUAUGAAAAGAAGAGCUCACUAAAAAGACUACUGAAAUAAUAGAAAACUUCCCACAGUUUACGCAGCAUUAAACAUGGCCUUUGUUGAUGGAUCCUGAAGAAUCUGGCCCUUUAUUUUUUCUUUUUCUUAAUUUGGAGAAGGAAAAUGGAAAGGAAGAUGUUUCAUGCCUGGUUUCUUGUCCAUUUAUUUUAUUUUUUUCUCCAGAGGUCUUCCCAUGGAUCACCAAUAAACAUUCAAGAAAACACAUAAGUGAAAUUAAA
This is a long non-coding RNA of Pipra filicauda (Wire-tailed manakin), 4354 nucleotides long. RefSeq lists it as uncharacterized. Lineage: Eukaryota; Metazoa; Chordata; Aves; Passeriformes; Pipridae. The transcript is spliced from 3 exons. The record is from RefSeq and is a predicted model, not a curated record.